UACGUAGGGUGCAAGCGUUGUCCGGAUUUAUUGGGCGUAAAGAGCUCGUAGGCGGUUAAGAAAGUCGGGUGUGAAACCUCCAGGCUCAACCUGGAGACGCCACUCGAUACUUCUUUGACUUGAGUUCGGUAGGGGUAAGCGGAAUUCCUGGUGUAGCGGUGAAAUGCGUAGAUAUCGAGAGGAACACCUGCGGCGAAGGCGGGUUGCUGGGCUGACACUGACGCUGAGGCGCGAAAGCUAGGGGAGCGAACGGG
Molecule: ribosomal RNA, 254 nt
Filed under: uncultured bacterium
Lineage: Bacteria
Description: partial 16S ribosomal RNA
Rfam family: Bacterial small subunit ribosomal RNA
Source: RNAcentral